UACGUAGGGUGCGAGCGUUGUCCGGAAUUACUGGGCGUAAAGAGCUCGUAUGCGGCUUGUCGCGUCGACUGUGAAAACCCGCGGCUCAACUGCGGGCCUGCAGCCGAUACGGGCAGGCUAGAGUUCGGUAGGGGAGACUGGAAUUCCUGGUGUAGCGGUGAAAUGCGUAGAUAUCUGGAGGAACACCGGUGGCGAAGGCGGCAUCCUGGACCGGCAUUGACGCUGAGGCGCGAAAGCCAGGGGAGCAAACGGG
This 253-nucleotide ribosomal RNA is filed under the name uncultured bacterium. RNAcentral's name for it is "partial 16S ribosomal RNA". It matches the Rfam family "Bacterial small subunit ribosomal RNA", at positions 524 to 776 of the family's 1533-position model. The record is from RNAcentral.